Long non-coding RNA from Leopardus geoffroyi (Geoffroy's cat), 520 nucleotides. RefSeq lists it as uncharacterized. The record is from RefSeq and is a predicted model, not a curated record. The transcript is spliced from 3 exons. NCBI's taxonomy places the organism in Eukaryota, Metazoa, Chordata, Mammalia, Carnivora, Felidae.
AUCCUCACUUUUUACUGGACUAAUUUGCCGCUCGCAACCGUUUUCUUCUUUCUCUAAAUGGAACUACCCGUUAGGGGAUGAAGUCACCGCAUGUUCCAGUGAAACGAGUCUCCAGGAUUUUCUCGGCAACUUCGGUGGCAGUGUCAGGAGCCGUGAUCUCCAGAUUCUGGGACAUUCUCACGCCUGGAAGAGGGAGAGCUGGGAGAGCAUCCAGAAAUUUGCUCCAGGCAUCUUGUUCCAUCCACAUCAGGAAGCUGGCUGCACAAGGUCUUCUCUGCAGACGUUUCUGUUUCCUUGGCAUGUGUCCUUUGGAUCGCUUUAUGGGUAAAAGGAAUGAUGGCUGGAGGCUGGGCAGCCACUCUGCAACCAUGAGGAUGAAACCCACACACGAUGAAUGGUGGAAUAAACAGCCAAAGGUCCGGAGGUCCUUGAUGCCUACCUUCAACAUUUAUAACAGCUCUUCAUGGCUUGUCUCAAAACUUCUCCUUAACUAAGCAAAAUAAAAUCCACUUGGUUAAGA